UACGUAGGGUGCGAGCGUUAAUCGGAAUUACUGGGCGUAAAGCGUGCGCAGGCGGUUUUGUAAGCCAGAUGUGAAAUCCCCGGGCUUAACCUGGGAAUGGCAUUUGGGACUGCAAGGCUGGAGUGUGGCAGAGGAGACUGGAAUUCCUGGUGUAGCGGCGAAAUGCGUAGAUAUCAGGAGGAAUACCGAUGGCGAAGGCAGGUCUCUGGGCUGACACUGACGCUCAUGCACGAAAGCGUGGGGAGCAAACAGG
Molecule: ribosomal RNA, 253 nt
Filed under: uncultured bacterium
Lineage: Bacteria
Description: partial 16S ribosomal RNA
Rfam family: Bacterial small subunit ribosomal RNA
Source: RNAcentral